This is a long non-coding RNA of Ornithodoros turicata, 2619 nucleotides long. RefSeq lists it as uncharacterized. Lineage: Eukaryota; Metazoa; Arthropoda; Arachnida; Ixodida; Argasidae. The transcript has 4 exons. The record is from RefSeq and is a predicted model, not a curated record.
ACGGCUCCUCCGACUGUAACGAUGCCCUGCAGGGAGCGACAGUUCAACAGCUAACCCUAGGCUUGCAACUCGGUUACCUUGCGGUGCAACUGAACCCUGAAGAAAGUUCGCCUAUCGAGAGUCUCCACGAGCUGGCCCGCAGCGAAGGAACUGCCUAGCAACGUACUCGUAACCACGUGCCGUGUCAGAAACGAUCUUGCGGAGUGUGGUUCUUGCUUGAGGUCGAGACUCACGUUUUCGCCGAGAGCUGUCAAAAAACAAAGACGUUGAAUAGAACGGAGCAGGCGCUUCCGACGUCCAGCGCAGUUCCCAAACCUUCAAACGCGGAGUUCUCUGGGGCGAAGAUGGUGAAACCACGAUGAUUCUGGAACGCAUGCAGAAGGCCAGAACGGUCCAUAAUGCUUAGAAAUGUAGUCAGGUUAUAUUGCUGCAAGAUGUCCACCACAGAACGAGCUGCAUAGAGUAUGAAAGCAGAGAUGAGAGAGCGUGAUUAUGCCUGUUAUUUACAGGAACGGUCCAGAACAUCUGUAUAACGCGCAAGGACAAAGCUAUGGUUUUGGCGCUCCUUGUGCCCUCUUCAGCCGAAUCACGGAAGUUGCGGGCUUCCCGCCAAAACCGGUGAAUUCUUAUUACGUGUCAUACGGGUGACAACGCUUCCGAGUGUCCAUGCGGACAAGCUCAAUAACUAACCUGUGUGAGGGAGAAAGACUUUGUCUACAAGAUGAACAAAGCCGUUUCUUGUGAGGAUGUCUCCUUCCAAAAUUGCUGCUCCUUCAACAGAAACCGUAGAUCCGCUGCAGGAGACCUUUAUGGUAUCUCCACUUCUUGUAAGGACUUCUUCAGGUUCGUGCACGGCUGUCGCGCACCACGGCUGCUCCGACAUGUGACGCUUCAAUAAAUCUAACAGAAAGCGAGAAGACGUCAGGUGAAAGCGGUUAUUUCUUCUUUCUGUAACGAGCGUGUCUUCGCGUUGCGCUCAACAACAACAACAACAACAACAACAACUUUAUUAUGAGAUGAUGAAUGGGUAGUUUCAUCGCAAGGGGCGAUACUCUACCCCAUUGCUGGUAGAGUAUGCUGGAGUAUGGUGGAGUAUCGUGGAGCUGGUAGAGCGGACGUUGCGCUCAUACUUAUAGACCUCUACCCGAGAAACGUCAUCAUGAUGUUGGUAGACAGACUGCAACCGAAACUGGGUUCCACGGGGGGGGCACUUGUUCGCUGCCUCCUAUUGAAAAGUAAGACCGAAGGUCGCGUCCCCUUUCAGGGGCCAUCGUAAUCCCUUCAAGACCGUGGCCUUCGGGCGCGACCUUGUUUGCUAAUAGCUUGGAGCGUAGUUCAACUCUACCAAAUUGGUGGCGCUGUCGAACACGAUGACGUCAUUUGUUUACAGACAGGGAGAUGUCUAUUCGGCAGUGAAUAGGAAUUAUUUGUGUUUCUUCGGCAGUGGACCGUUUUUAUUAAUGGUCACUUUAGCAAAAAAUAAAACAUUAUUGUUAUUAUUAUUAAGAACGUAAUGAAGUAUGAAUGAUAUUGUACACACAAGAUAUGAGUAUACAAAAACACAGAACCAGAGUAAGCGUCGCCCACCACGAUAGGCAGUGCAAUAGUGCAGUGUACCACCACAGCGGCGGUGAAUCGCCCACCUCAUCAUCAUCCAAUGUUCUCUGGAAGAUUCUCCCACGCAGUGUCCACGGGGGCCCACAUGGUGUUCCAGGACGCUCCAUCGUCGUCUUGAGAUGACGGAACGGAAGCCUUUCUUCGAUGACUGUGUAGAGCAAUGGGUGGACGCCGUUCUCUUCCCCUGCACCAUGCUGGUUGGAAUCGCUCUCGAGCAGUACUGCUGUACGGGGCGCCGCUAGCACUGUCAAAGCUUUCUUGUUCUGACGAAGGACGUCUAAGAGGGCGCCACGUUUCAUAGCAGAUAGGUACUUCCCUAGGUCUGCUGUGGCCAAGGAUGUCGCGAUGUCUUCCAUCUUUCCUUGAACUGGAGGAAAGCAACAAGGUCAUCGAGCCGCAAAACUUCCCUUUCGUCCAAGGUGUAGCUAUUGGGAAUCUGUCUUUGGAGAUUACUUCCACGGGACAUACGCCAGGACUACGAAUUAAACAGAAACGAGAAACCAUUAGAUUCGUGUUAUCUACGGUGGAUAACAGGGGAGUGCCAUCGCUUUCAUCACAGCUGUUUCGAGAGCCUCGACGCGCAAAGACACUUACCCCUGAAGCUUGGCCACGUCAUACCAGGACCUGGAAUGCCCACAGGCACCGACGAAACCAACAAUCCAAGGAAAGAGAAGAUAUCCAAGGAGACUCCUGGUCAUUGUUACACAGUAACGAACUCAUGUAUCGUCGUGAGCUUAUGCAGCGUUAUGUGGAGCACCCGUAGCUGGCUAACGGUGGAACUGAGUUGAAACUAGCCCGGAUGAAGCUCUCGCGGUAGCAAUCUGCCACUCUUCAUGAGGCCUUCGUUGUUCCGCUUAACAACAAUCAUUCUUCUCCAUUGCCAGAAACAAAACGGGUGAAGGCCAGAGCGAGAUCGUUCCGAAGUGCUAUUUUUAUCAGCCCUUCUGAAAGGCUCAAUAAAAUUUGCGAACAAAAUUACACGAAAUUCACGUAUAAUGAUUG